This 283-nucleotide ribosomal RNA is filed under the name uncultured bacterium. RNAcentral's name for it is "partial 16S ribosomal RNA". It matches the Rfam family "Bacterial small subunit ribosomal RNA", at positions 66 to 339 of the family's 1533-position model. The record is from RNAcentral.
ACUUUGAUCGAUUUCUUCAGAUUGAAAUUUUAGUGACUGAGUGGCGGACGGGUGAGUAACGCGUGGGUAACCUGCCUCACACAGGGGGAUAACAGUUGGAAACGGCUGCUAAUACCGCAUAAGCGCACGGUUCCGCAUGGAACAGUGUGAAAAACUCCGGUGGUGUGAGAUGGACCCGCGUCUGAUUAGCCAGUUGGCGGGGUAACGGCCCACCUAGUCUUCGAUGGAUAGGGGUUCUGAGAGGAAGGUCCCCACAUUGGAACUGAGACACGGUCCAAACUCC